RNAcentral lists this ribosomal RNA (301 nucleotides) under uncultured bacterium. RNAcentral describes it as "partial 16S ribosomal RNA". It matches the Rfam family "Bacterial small subunit ribosomal RNA", at positions 509 to 807 of the family's 1533-position model. The record is from RNAcentral.
CAGCAGCCACGGGAAAACAGAGGGUGCAAGCGUUAAUCGGAAUUACUGGGCGUAAAGCGCGCGUAGGUGGUUUGUUAAGUUGGAUGUGAAAUCCCCGGGCUCAACCUGGGAACUGCAUCCAAAACUGGCAAGCUAGAGUAUGGUAGAGGGUGGUGGAAUUUCCUGUGUAGCGGUGAAAUGCGUAGAUAUAGGAAGGAACACCAGUGGCGAAGGCGACCACCUGGACUGAUACUGACACUGAGGUGCGAAAGCGUGGGGAGCAAACAGGAUUAUAUACCCCUGUAGUCCCUGUCUCUUAUAC